RNAcentral lists this unclassified non-coding RNA (200 nucleotides) under soil metagenome. Its description in RNAcentral is "partial contains internal transcribed spacer 2 and large subunit ribosomal RNA". The record is from RNAcentral.
GCCUGUUCGAGCGUCAUUACAACCCUCAAGCUCUGCUUGGUGUUGGGUGUCACCUGUGUGCACCCCAAAAUCAGUGGCGAUGCCUGCAGCUUCCAGCGUAGUAAAUCUCUCGCUACGGAGUCUGUCAGGACCACUGCCAACAACCCUCUAUAACAUCAAAGGUUGACCUCGGAUCAGGUAGGGAUACCCGCUGAACUUAA